GUCCAUGCAAGUCGAACGGCAGCACGGGCUUCGGCCUGGUGGCGAGUGGCGAACGGGUGAGUAAUGCAUCGGAACGUACCGUGUAGUGGGGGAUAACGUAGCGAAAGUUACGCUAAUACCGCAUACGCCCCGAGGGGGAAAGUGGGGGACCGCAAGGCCUCACGCUAUAUGAGCGGCCGAUGUCGGAUUAGCUAGUUGGUAGGGUAAAGGCCUACCAAGGCGACGAUCCGUAGCGGGUCUGAGAGGAUGAUCCGCCACACUGGGACUGAGACACGGCCCAGACUCCUACGGGAGGCAGCAGUGGGGAAUUUUGGACAAUGGGCGCAAGCCUGAUCCAGCCACGCCGCGUGAGUGAAGAAGGCCUUCGGGUUGUAAAGCUCUUUCAGACGGAAAGAACUCUCCCGGGAUAAUACCUCGGGAGGAUGACGGUACCGUAAGAAGAAGCACCGGCUAACUACGUGCCAGCAGCCGCGGUAAUACGUAGGGUGCGAGCGUUAAUCGGAAUUACUGGGCGUAAAGCGUGCGCAGGCGGUGAUGUAAGACAGAUGUGAAAUCCCCGGGCUCAACCUGGGAACUGCGUUUGUGACUGCAUCACUCGAGUACGGCAGAGGGAGGUGGAAUUCCGCGUGUAGCAGUGAAAUGCGUAGAGAUGCGGAGGAACACCGAUGGCGAAGGCAGCCUCCUGGGCCAGUACUGACGCUCAUGCACGAAAGCGUGGGGAGCAAACAGGAUUAGAUACCCUGUAGUCCACGCCCUAAACGAUGUCAACUAGUUGUUCGGUGAGAGACUCAUUGAGUACGCAGCUACGCGUGAGUGACCGCCUGGAGUACGCGCAGUAAACUCAAGAUGACGGGACCGCACAGCGUGAUGAUGUGAUAUCGAUGCACGCGA
This 891-nucleotide ribosomal RNA is filed under the name uncultured Zoogloea sp. Its description in RNAcentral is "bacterial SSU rRNA". It matches the Rfam family "Bacterial small subunit ribosomal RNA", at positions 51 to 964 of the family's 1533-position model. Lineage: Bacteria; Pseudomonadati; Pseudomonadota; Betaproteobacteria; Rhodocyclales; Zoogloeaceae. The record is from RNAcentral.